Molecule: unclassified non-coding RNA, 212 nt
Filed under: plant metagenome
Description: partial contains small subunit ribosomal RNA, internal transcribed spacer 1, and 5.8S ribosomal RNA
Source: RNAcentral
UUUCCGUAGGUGAACCAGCGGAAGGAUCAUUCAUAAUAAGUGUUCUACUGCACUUUUUAAAAAUAGUACUCACCUUGUGUGCAAUGUUUGUUAGACACUUUCGGGAGUCUGACAUUUAUACCAACCUUUUAUACUUUGAACCACUUUGUCUGAAAAAUAUCAUGAAUACUUAAUUCUAAAUACAACUUUCAACAACGGAUCUCUUGGCUCUC